ACACACAGUGGAUGUAGUCUUUGAAUUAUUGUCUAGUUUUAAAUACUUUACUUUCACCUUGAUAGAAGAAUGGUGAUUAAGAUGAGCGUAGGAUUCCUGAAAACUCUACCUCCUUUUCCUAA
Molecule: non-coding RNA, 122 nt
Organism: Vicugna pacos (alpaca)
Lineage: Eukaryota; Metazoa; Chordata; Mammalia; Artiodactyla; Camelidae
Source: RefSeq, a predicted model, not a curated record